AUUUUUAUUGGUGGAUUAACGGAUGGUUUUCUAGCAACUGAAUACUUAGAACCUCUGGCAGUUGCUUUGGAUAGGGAGAAAUGGUCACUUGUUCAGCUGGUUAUGUCAUCAUCAUAUAGUGGAUUUGGAACUUCCAGCUUGCAACAAGAUGCCUUGGAGAUUGAUCAGCUUGUAAGUUAUUUGAUCAACAAAGAAAAUUCUGAGGGUGUGGUCCUACUUGGACACAG
This 227-nucleotide unclassified non-coding RNA is filed under the name Hevea brasiliensis (rubber tree). Lineage: Eukaryota; Viridiplantae; Streptophyta; Magnoliopsida; Malpighiales; Euphorbiaceae. The record is from RNAcentral.